UACAGAGGUCUCAAGCGUUGUUCGGAUUCAUUGGGCGUAAAGGGUGCGUAGGUGGCGCUGUAAGUCAGGUGUGAAAUUUCGGAGCUCAACUCCGAAACUGCAUUUGAUACUGCGGUGCUUGAGGACUGGAGAGGAGACUGGAAUUCAUGGUGUAGCAGUGAAAUGCGUAGAGAUCAUGAGGAAGACCAGUGGCGAAGGCGGGUCUCUGGACAGUUCCUGACACUGAGGCACGAAGGCCAGGGGAGCAAACGGG
This 253-nucleotide ribosomal RNA is filed under the name uncultured bacterium. Its description in RNAcentral is "partial 16S ribosomal RNA". It matches the Rfam family "Bacterial small subunit ribosomal RNA", at positions 524 to 776 of the family's 1533-position model. The record is from RNAcentral.